RNAcentral lists this long non-coding RNA (543 nucleotides) under Amborella trichopoda. RNAcentral's name for it is "long non-coding RNA (ATRI_LNC004369)". The record is from RNAcentral. Lineage: Eukaryota; Viridiplantae; Streptophyta; Magnoliopsida; Amborellales; Amborellaceae.
AAAAAAAUCACGUCUUCCUUUUCUCUCUCUAAAAUUAGCUCCACCUUCUCUUCUUGUAUUUCCAAAUCUUGCACGAGCCCAAAAAAGGAGUAUCCAAAUCCCUACAAACAUAGCAUGGUUAGGGUUUCUAUCUCUCUCUAAAAUCUCUGCUCCACCAUCUCUUCUGGCCUUUCCAAAUCUUGCCCGAGCCCAAAAAAGGAGUACCCAAAUUUCGUCAAACAUAGCAUGAUUAGGGUUUCUUUCUCUCUCUAAAAUCAGCUCCACCAUCUCUUCUUGCCUUUCCAAAUCUUGCCCGAGCCCUAAAAAUGAGUACCCAAAUCUCUACCAACAGUGCAUAUAUGGUUAGGAUUUCUUUCUCUCUCUAAAAUCUCUAAAAUCAGCUCCACCAACUCUUCUUGCCUUCCUAAAUCUUGCCCGAACCUUAGGGUUUCUUUCUCUUUAUAAAAACAGUUAUCCUAAAUUUUGCUCAAUCCUAGUUAGGGUUUCUUUCUCUUUCCAAAUACAAAGAAACGAAGUCCCAAUUGUUGCCCUACCCAAGCCCUG